CCAGUUGCCCCUCUCAACCCUCAUAAAUUCACAAAAUCACAAUUCAUUGAUUCAUUAUUCACAUAUCUUUCAUCUUUCUCAAGUCUUAAACUCUCAAUCUCAGAAUCUCUCACAAUCUCAGUUAUCUAGCUGUCCCCUCUCAACCCUCACAAACCAAGUAAAAAAUAAUCAAUUUUCAUCUCCAUUUUCCCGAGUCCUUGACUUUACAAAUCUGGACAAACCAGUCAUAUUCCUCUCUCAGUCUCCCACAUGGGCAUGACACCCGACUUGACCCAACCUAGCCUUUAGAUCUAACAAACCAGUCACCUUUCUCUCUCACACUUGACCCGACCUUGAAUCUUGUGAUACCAGGUCAAAUAGAUGUCAGGUGCUCACAUAAUUAACGAUGGGGAUUUUGGAUCGCCUUUCUUUUAUAUCAAGGGAGUACCUGUUAGAUGGCUUUCCUCUAUUAUAUCUGAAAGGUAACACAUGCUCUAUAGAAGUAUUCAAGUUAAAAGAAUAUGGAUGGAUAAUGGAAGAGCUUAUCUCAGAACUAUUCUCAAUAGUUCUUUUAGGUAUUACAAAGAUAGGGGUUGAUUAAGUUUAUUGAUUCAAAAGCUCUCCAUUAAACUGAUAUUUAUGUAUUCCUCCAUCAUCAUUUUCAAGCUCUCUUAGUUGUCUACUGUUAGCAUGUGUGAUGUUGUUAUUAAUGGCAUGUGUUAGACCAUCAUCAACGAGGUUUACAAGGUCUACUGAAUUAUUAAUAGUGUUAAUUGUGGCUAGAGUUU
Populus euphratica (Euphrates poplar) is the source of this 767-nucleotide long non-coding RNA. RefSeq lists it as uncharacterized. NCBI's taxonomy places the organism in Eukaryota, Viridiplantae, Streptophyta, Magnoliopsida, Malpighiales, Salicaceae. The transcript is spliced from 2 exons. The record is from RefSeq and is a predicted model, not a curated record.